RNAcentral lists this ribosomal RNA (765 nucleotides) under Triticum aestivum (bread wheat). RNAcentral's name for it is "partial small subunit ribosomal RNA". The record is from RNAcentral. Lineage: Eukaryota; Viridiplantae; Streptophyta; Magnoliopsida; Poales; Poaceae.
GCGUGGAUGCCGCUCUAUCGGCCAUCCCACGGUCGAGGGGAUGGAUAAGAGCAAGCCCUCGACGCUCUCCCUCUCGCCGAAACCCUAGGCCCUCAGUUUUCCCCUCCCUCACAUCUCACACACGAUCUCGAGGUCGCUAGAGCGGAACCGUGGCCGCAUCAUCAUCAACCUCGAGCGUCGUAGCGUCCCCGAGCCUCGAGAGGAGGUCCGAAGGAUGCUGCUCCUUCGUCUUCUUCGACCACGAACAUGGGUUCGUCUGGAGAUGCAACACACCGACGGAUCGGUCUUCAUCUUCCCCGUCGGCCGCCGCACAACCUCGCCUCGAUUCGUCGCCUCCGGAGCUUCCCCGGUGGUCUCGCGCUCGCCAAUCACCUCCUGACACCGAGACCGACGCUGCUGCUACCCAGUACGACUACGGUGUUGAUGACCCCUCUCUCUUGCCAGAGCAACCAGGAGCCAGACGCCACCGUUAACGACGACUCCUACUACACUGGAGGUGCCUACUACUACGUGCAGCCCGCUGACGACGACCAGGAGUAGUUUAGGAGGAUCCCAGGCAUGAGGCAUGCGCCUCUUUCGAUCUGUAUCUCAGUUUGUGCUAGCCUUCUUAAGGCAGACUUGUUUAACUUAUGUUUGUACUCAGAUAUUGUUGCUUCCGCUGACUCGUCUAUGAUCGAGCUUUUGUAUUCGAGCCCUCGAGGCCCCUGGCUUGUAAUAUGAUGCUUGUAUGACUUAUUUUAUUCGUAGAGUUGUGUUAUGAUAUCU